AGCGAACGCUGGCGGCAGGCUUAACACAUGCAAGUCGAACGGGCAUCUUCGGAUGUCAGUGGCAGACGGGUGAGUAACACGUGGGAACGUACCCUUCGGUUCGGAAUAACUCAGGGAAACUUGAGCUAAUACCGGAUACGCCCUUUUGGGGAAAGGUUUACUGCCGAAGGAUCGGCCCGCGUCUGAUUAGCUUGUUGGUGGGGUAACGGCCUACCAAGGCGACGAUCAGUAGCUGGUCUGAGAGGAUGAUCAGCCACACUGGGACUGAGACACGGCCCAGACUCCUACGGGGGGCAGCAGUGGGGAAUAUUGGACAAUGGGCGCAAGCCUGAUCCAGCCAUGCCGCGUGAGUGAUGAAGGCCUUAGGGUUGUAAAGCUCUUUUGUCCGGGACGAUAAUGACGGUACCGGAAGAAUAAGCCCCGGCUAACUUCGUG
This 435-nucleotide ribosomal RNA is filed under the name uncultured bacterium. Its description in RNAcentral is "partial 16S ribosomal RNA". It matches the Rfam family "Bacterial small subunit ribosomal RNA", at positions 29 to 507 of the family's 1533-position model. The record is from RNAcentral.